Long non-coding RNA from Homo sapiens (human), 1682 nucleotides. Ensembl annotates it as long intergenic non-protein coding RNA 2389. NCBI's taxonomy places the organism in Eukaryota, Metazoa, Chordata, Mammalia, Primates, Hominidae. The record is from Ensembl.
AAAACAAGAAGAGCUGUGUCACCAAGUUCCAUAAAAUCUGGGAGCCCAAGCAGCAUAUUUGUGGGAUUUGUCUGACAGAACGCAAUGGAAACAGAGCGUGGCAUUCGCUCCAUCUCCCCCAGAUGUUCCAUAAGUUUCUGCUUCCAUCAGCAAUGUAAGGAAGUGCCCAAUUCCUCCUACCCCCACAUUACUGAGAAUCUUAUCAAAUUUUUUGAUCUUUUCUGAUUGGGCAAGGAAAGCAUCUUUUGGGACCAUCAAAUGCAUCCUGUUCCUGAAGGAGCAGAAACAGUGAAAGCGGACACUUGUCUCAGCUGGCCUCUGUCUCUAGCAUGAAAUCCCUGGAGAGUGAUUUUGCAGCCCCUCUUCCAGAACACAGCAGGUAAAGGAAGAUUUUCAUGAUUCACUGACUGAGGACAAUCAAAUUCUUCACCACGUAGAACCUAGACAUUGGGUCUUUGGAAAGGACAUCAGAGAAAGACUGCCAUUAAGCUCCAUUGGAAGAGACCAUAUCAAGUUCUUUUCUGCAGCAAACCAUCAGGCUCUCAAGUCUUGGAUCUAUGUCUCUCAACUCAAAAGAGCUCCUCCAGACUCCUGGAACUGUAUACCUAUUGGAGACUCUAAGGUAAAGCUCACCAGGGAAGAUUUCCCCCAGGAGCAGUUGGCAUCCUAGACUUCAACAGCUUUCGUAAGAUUGUGGAUCAAGACUUCUCUGCCAUCAUGAAAGUCUUAUCUUUUCCCUUUCUUCCCAAUUUCCUGCUGUCCCAGUCCCUUUCUUUUACUUAUAGGAAAAUCCAUGGGGCCAUAAUCUGUGGAUGGCUUUAGCUAAGUCUUAUGCUGUAGUGAAAAAACAGAGCAAUUGUUGGGUUUAUGAAGAUAAGCUAGUUUCUACUGAGGAAAGAUUCCAGUGGCAUUCCUGGGGGCUCAGUCUUGGUACUAGCAGGGUACUGGUAGUAUGGAAUUUGAAAGUAAUCCAUAAAAUGAGAAAAAUCUUGGGUUUGACCAACCAGUCCCCACAGAGGUUCAGGUGAGUAGAAGUCAUCUUUUGAAAACACUUAAUAAAACAUCAUGCAGUUUUGGAUCCUGUUUCCUUAGACACUGCCACCAAAUACAUAAAGGAAAUUUCUCAGAGGAAAGAAACAUAUGACAUGUUCAUAGGAGCAGCAAACCAUUGGUUUGCAGGUAGGCUUGGCUUUUCCAAGGUGUUCUAACCUUUAUGCUCUUCUAAUGGUUCUCCAGAUUACUAUGACUUGUGUUAACAAGAUAAUGACAACAUUGGAUACCUCUUUAAAUCAGCAAACUGCAGUUCUUAAUCAUUAUCACCUCCUGAACAAAAACCAUGACCAACGGUACUCAAAUGCUUUUGAGCUGCCUGUAAGGGAGGAGACCACCCCUCAUAUUGUCUUAUGCCCAAUUUCUGCCUCCAAAUAAAGAAGAAGUAAAAACUAAAAGGCAGAAACGAAAUCCACAAGCAGACAGCCCGGUGCCACACCCUGGGCCUGGUAGUUAAAGAUCGAUGCCUGACCUAAUCAGUUAUGUUAUCUAUAGAUUACAGAUAUCGUAUAGGAAAGCACUGUGAAAAUCCCUGUCCUGUUUUGUUCCGAUCUAAUUACCAGUGCAUGCAACCCCCAGUCAUGUACCCCUGGCUUGCUCAAUCGAUCACAACCCUCUCAAGUGGACCCCCU